UCAACGGCCCUUCUAAGGGCCAUGUAAAUAGACGUGUAAAAUAAA
This is a non-coding RNA of Camponotus floridanus (Florida carpenter ant), 45 nucleotides long. The record is from Rfam. NCBI's taxonomy places the organism in Eukaryota, Metazoa, Arthropoda, Insecta, Hymenoptera, Formicidae.